GGGGUUGUGGCUCAGUGGUAGAGCGCGUGUCUAGCACGUGCAGGGUGCUGGGUUCGAUCCCCAGCACCA
Non-coding RNA from Ictidomys tridecemlineatus (thirteen-lined ground squirrel), 69 nucleotides. The record is from Rfam. Lineage: Eukaryota; Metazoa; Chordata; Mammalia; Rodentia; Sciuridae.